UUAAGGCAUGACAUGCUUUCUCUCUCCUUUGAACCAAUCUUUCUCACUUUCCUUUUUCUGUUUUUACCAUCUGCUUUCUCACUUACCCAUUGUCUUUCAUUGUAAUUUUUGGACAGAGAUGAACUCUCCAUUGAAGCGGCUUCUGAGCUUAUUCCUCCAUUGAAUUGAAGCAGAUUCUGAGAUGAAACAAAGAAUAUACCUUAAUCGCCUCAAACUCGACGACAACCUCGUUGACGACGGUGUAGUUGCACGCGCUGAAAUCGGAAGGGUGGAUCGGAAGAGCUUCGGAGAAUCUUAGCCUUCUGUUCACUCAAUUAAGCAGAAGGAAUCGUCGCUGUUCAACAGAAUGCCUUCAUGCUUUGCGUUGUGAUUUUUAUAAUUCAUUCUGAUUUUUAAUCAUGUUUUGGAAGAUAUGCAAGCUUUCGAUGAGUUGAGGAAGCUGGAAUUGUUCUUCAAGGAUGAGAGCAGGCAUGGUCUUUCAGUUUCGGGUCUCUAUGAACUUUUUCAGCAUGCUGGCAAUGUGUUACCGAGUCUAUUAUGAAACUUAAUGAUAUGUGUGUUGGCAGUUGAGUUAUCAAUGAGAGUUAGUUGAUCUGCUCAUUUGGAAUUGUAGAAUCAGUUCUUUGGAGAUAGUUGAUUAACUGAAUACCUCUGGAGCUGGUUUUAUUGAUUUAUGGAUGGAGAUGAAUAUGCAUUCUGCUUUACCAAUGCAGACAUCAAGUGGAAAUUGUUACAAUGAAUUGAAAGUUCCUGAAUCAUACACUUCUCCUCUACCAGUUCUGGCUAAUCCUUUCUUUGUGUCAUCGUCAAGGGAAAUGAUUGCAAACAGUUUACAGAUGCAGGCUGACCCUAUAGUUCUCAUAUUGGUUCUUCCAGUAGUGCUUCUCCAUUUGUAGGCAGAUUCAUAUCACGACAUUAAUAGACUUAUGCUGGCUGAAUGGCACGAUGCAGAUGAAGCUGGAAAAGAAGAGGUCAUCAUCAAUGGAUAAGAUUAUGAAGAAGUUGAAAUCUGCUCAGAAGAAAGCUCAGAACAUGAGGAGCACAAUACCAACCAGUCAGACGCUUCAGGUGUCUAAAACGAGCAAUAAUGCAGUAUCUUUCCGGACUCGUCUGAUGGGUUCCCUCAGUGGUUGUUUUACAUGCCAUGCUUUCUAAACUGAAGGCUCGCAGCAGGACUCUUUCAGCUGGAACAGUAUACAAACUGGUACACAGCAUGCUGCAUGCUUCAUAUACAAUGCUACAGCCGGUCAACCGGUGCCCAUUUAGCUAGUACUUGAAACAUUUCUUUGUCCUCUUCGAAAUGUUGUUUUGUUCACUCCGCUCUUUUUUUUUUUUUUUUUUGGAGAUAGGGGGUGGGGGGAUGUCUAGCAGGGAUCCAGAUUAUAUUGUAGUGUAUAUUUAAAUUGUUGUGGAUUUGACGAAUAAUGUGCUAUGGUCAAAAUUAAGGCACGACCUGACACUCGAUACGUUGCACGACAACGAAAGGCGACUGACGACCCUGUAAUUGACUCAGCGAAAGAUAAGGAAGUGAUAAAGGUCCAUGAUGGCACUAUAGCUAUUUCCCAGCAGUUUGCUCAGUAAAAGUGAUUCAAACCUCAACCUCAACCAGAUAAGUCCAGAAGUCGAAAAUAAGUCCCAAGACUUCGUCAACAACCGAUUCCCUAUUUCUUAGGGGAACGGAUACAAGCUUCCAAUGACACUUAAGCUAGGGUUUAAACGCUCAUGAUUAGCAUUAUAAAUAGCAUAAUAAUUGUACUAAGCAAGGACACAGUUCAUACGCACUCUACCCUCAAUUCUAAGCUUUCAUACUCAUUGCAUUCAAAGUAA
This is a long non-coding RNA of Chenopodium quinoa (quinoa), 1827 nucleotides long. RefSeq lists it as uncharacterized. The record is from RefSeq and is a predicted model, not a curated record. The transcript has 6 exons. Lineage: Eukaryota; Viridiplantae; Streptophyta; Magnoliopsida; Caryophyllales; Amaranthaceae.